CCCCCAAAACAAAAAAUGUGGACGGGGUUACCCAAAGUGUUCUCUUUAGGACUGUGGUAAGUGAGUAAUGUUCCCUUCUAGAAAGGAGAGGGCAAGGGUGGUGCCAGCCGCCGCGGUAAAACCAGCUCUUCAAGUGGUCGGGAUAAUUAUUGGGCUUAAAGUGUCCGUAGCCGGUUUGGAAAGUUCCUGGUAAAAUCGGGUAGCUUAACUAUCCGCAUGCUAGGAAUACUAUCAUUCUAGAGGGCGGGAAAGGUCUGAGGUACUACAGGGGUAGGGGUGAAAUCUUAUAAUCCUUGUAGGACCACCAGUGGCGAAGGCGUCAGACUGGAACGCGCCUGACGGUGAGGGACGAAAGCCAGGGGAGCGAACCGGAUUAGAUACCCGGGUAGUCCUGGCCGUAAAC
This 403-nucleotide ribosomal RNA is filed under the name uncultured archaeon. RNAcentral's name for it is "bacterial SSU rRNA". It matches the Rfam family "Archaeal small subunit ribosomal RNA", at positions 347 to 758 of the family's 1478-position model. The record is from RNAcentral.